This 364-nucleotide unclassified non-coding RNA is filed under the name uncultured bacterium. RNAcentral's name for it is "contains 16S-23S intergenic spacer region". The record is from RNAcentral.
UCCGGGUUAAACCCGGCGGUCCCGCCAGACAUGGUAACUGGCAGCGAGGGUUGCGCUCGUUGCGGGACUUAACCCAACACCUCACGGCACGAGCUGACGACAGCCAUGCAGCACCUGUGCACGCUCCCUUGCGGGUCCCUUCCCUUUCGAGGUCGUACCACGCGCAUGUCAAACCCAGGUAAGGUUCUUCGCGUUGCAUCGAAUUAAACCACAUGCUCCACCGCUUGUGCGGGCCCCCGUCAAUUCCUUUGAGUUUCAGCCUUGCGGCCGUACUCCCCAGGCGGGGCACUUAAUGCGUUAGCGCCGGCACCCAGGGGGUCGCUCCCCCAGGCACCUAGUGCCCAUCGUUUACGGCGUGGACUAC